RNAcentral lists this ribosomal RNA (486 nucleotides) under Staphylococcus epidermidis. RNAcentral describes it as "bacterial SSU rRNA". It matches the Rfam family "Bacterial small subunit ribosomal RNA", at positions 32 to 500 of the family's 1533-position model. The record is from RNAcentral. Lineage: Bacteria; Bacillati; Bacillota; Bacilli; Caryophanales; Staphylococcaceae.
AACGCUGGCGGCGUGCCUAAUACAUGCAAGUCGAGCGAACAGACGAGGAGCUUGCUCCUCUGACGUUAGCGGCGGACGGGUGAGUAACACGUGGAUAACCUACCUAUAAGACUGGGAUAACUUCGGGAAACCGGAGCUAAUACCGGAUAACAUGUUGAACCGCAUGGUUCAACAGUGAAAGACGGUCUUGCUGUCACUUAUAGAUGGAUCCGCGCCGCAUUAGCUAGUUGGUAAGGUAACGGCUUACCAAGGCAACGAUGCGUAGCCGACCUGAGAGGGUGAUCGGCCACACUGGAACUGAGACACGGUCCAGACUCCUACGGGAGGCAGCAGUAGGGAAUCUUCCGCAAUGGGCGAAAGCCUGACGGAGCAACGCCGCGUGAGUGAAGAAGGUCUUCGGAUCGUAAAACUCUGUUAUUAGGGAAGAACAAAUGUGUAAGUAACUAUGCACGUCUUGACGGUACCUAAUCAGAAAGCCACGGCUAA